AGGGGCAGCAUGAACUUAGCUUGCUAAGUUUGAUGGCGACCGGCGCACGGGUGAGUAACACGUAUCCAACCUGCCAAUGACUCGGGGAUAGCCUUUCGAAAGAAAGAUUAAUACCCGAUGGCAUAGUUCUUCCGCAUGGUCGAACUAUUAAAGAAUUUCGGUCAUCGAUGGGGAUGCGUUCCAUUAGGUUGUUGGCGGGGUAACGGCCCACCAAGCCUUCGAUGGAUAGGGGUUCUGAGAGGAAGGUCCCCCACAUUGGGACUGAGAUACGGCCCAGACUCC
This 282-nucleotide ribosomal RNA is filed under the name uncultured Bacteroides sp. RNAcentral's name for it is "partial 16S ribosomal RNA". It matches the Rfam family "Bacterial small subunit ribosomal RNA", at positions 65 to 339 of the family's 1533-position model. The record is from RNAcentral. Lineage: Bacteria; Pseudomonadati; Bacteroidota; Bacteroidia; Bacteroidales; Bacteroidaceae.